UAGGGAAUAUUCCGCAAUGGGCGAAAGCCUGACGGAGCAACGCCGCGUGAGUGAAGAAGAUCCUCGGAUUGUAAACCUCUGUCUUCGGUGAAGAAACAAAUGACGGUAGCCGAGGAGGAAGCCACGGCUAACUACGUGCCAGCAGCCGCGGUAAUACGUAGGUGGCAAGCGUUGUCCGGAAUUACUGGGUGUAAAGGGAGCGCAGGCGGGGAGACAAGUCAGCUGUGAAAACUAUGGGCUUAACCCAUAAACUGCAGUUGAAACUGUUUUUCUUGAGUGGAGUAGAGGUAGGCGGAAUUCCGAGUGUAGCGGUGAAAUGCGUAGAUAUUCGGAGGAACACCAGUGGCGAAGGCGGCCUACUGGGCUCUAACUGACGCUGAGGCUCGAAAGUGUGGGGAGCAAACA
RNAcentral lists this ribosomal RNA (405 nucleotides) under uncultured prokaryote. RNAcentral's name for it is "bacterial SSU rRNA". It matches the Rfam family "Bacterial small subunit ribosomal RNA", at positions 355 to 774 of the family's 1533-position model. The record is from RNAcentral.